GGGUGUUUUACCUUCUAAGCAUCUGCUCUUCCGUGUUUCCCUCCCCCUAGGUUCCUGGGCAUGGAUUUGAUAGAAGUGGCUGAUAUCUAAUCCGCUGUACACUUUUUAAUUCCGUGCCAGAUGCAGUGGACCGCAGUUAAAAGCUAGGGCUAGGACUUGGAGGAUGUGUAGGCAAACGGAAGGAGAGCCGGGGGAAGAAAAGCCGAAAUGGAUUCAUUCUCCGUCCUGGCUGGAGGAGGAGAGGAGCGGGGACGUGCGGGCUGCCUGCAGCUGCCUCUGUCCGGUGAGAAGUGCUCGCAGCCCCGCGGCUGACUCGGGCUCAGGAGUCCGCGCGGACUUUCGCUCUAAGCUGCCAAUCAAACCGCUAACCGCCACCACCCUGCGCCGGCACCGACAUCUCAAAAGCUUAAAGCCACGGGAGGAGCCCCCAGUUGAACCCGAAAUCCUAACAGAAAGCGAAUCAACUUUCUGGCCGCUGUUUCAACUGAUAGAUCAGAACUUAAUUCGGAGAGACAGAAAGGGAGAGAAACGACAGCACAGAUUUAUCUUGCCCGGCGUCUUCCGCUGAAACUUUAGAAACUGCGGCGUUGCAAACCCGGGCCCGGGAUGCUAAUGAGCGGCAGCGCGUCGUGUCCCCGCUCCUGUCACUUAUUGCCGAGAGCGGAUCGCGGCGCUCGGGGACCCGUGCAGGUGCGCGCACGGAGCAGCGGCCGCUCCGAGCUCAUCUCAUCCCGGCGCCUUUCGGGGAACGGGGGACACUUUGAUCUCCCCCCCCAACCCCCCCCGGCCCCUUCCUCGGGAUCCCUCCGUGCUGGGUCUGCUGGGGGCUGUCCAAGCGGCAGCCCAGCUCCGGGUUCUGCCGCUCCCUCCCAACCCCACCCCCCGUCUUCGCCGAGGUUUCAUUACUUGCUGUUAGUGCCUGGAAACAAUAAAGGAUGUCGGACUGGGCUUUUAUUGAUUAUU
RNAcentral lists this long non-coding RNA (963 nucleotides) under Phasianus colchicus (ring-necked pheasant). RNAcentral describes it as "lncRNA (ENSPCLG00000022014.1)". The stretch from base 136 to 397 matches the Rfam family "SOX2 overlapping transcript exon 3". Lineage: Eukaryota; Metazoa; Chordata; Aves; Galliformes; Phasianidae. The record is from RNAcentral.